RNAcentral lists this ribosomal RNA (647 nucleotides) under Leptographium radiaticola. Its description in RNAcentral is "Grosmannia radiaticola partial large subunit ribosomal RNA". It matches the Rfam family "Eukaryotic large subunit ribosomal RNA", at positions 1 to 667 of the family's 3401-position model. Lineage: Eukaryota; Fungi; Ascomycota; Sordariomycetes; Ophiostomatales; Ophiostomataceae. The record is from RNAcentral.
UGACCUCGGAUCAGGUAGGACUACCCGCUGAACUUAAGCAUAUCAAUAAGCGGAGGAAAAGAAACCAACAGGGAUUGCCCCAGUAACGGCGAGUGAAGCGGCAACAGCUCAGAUUUGGAAUCUGGCCCCCAGGGCCCGAGUUGUAAUCUGGAGAGGAUGCUUCUGGCGCGGCGCCUUCCGAGUUCCCUGGAACGGGACGCCGGAGAGGGUGAGAGCCCCGUACGGUCGGACGCCCAGCCUGUGUGAAGCUCCUUCGACGAGUCGAGUAGUUUGGGAAUGCUGCUCAAAAUGGGAGGUAAAUUUCUUCUAAAGCUAAAUAUUGGCCAGAGACCGAUAGCGCACAAGUAGAGUGAUCGAAAGAUGAAAAGCACUUUGAAAAGAGGGUCAAACAGUACGUGAAAUUGUUGAAAGGGAAGCGCCCGUGGCCAGACUUGCGCCCGGCGGUACCACCCGGCGCCACAGCGCCGGGGCAUUCCGCCGGGCGCAGGCCAGCAUCGGUUUUCCCAGGGGGACAAAGGUGGCGGGAACGUAGCUCCUCCGGGAGUGUUAUAGCCCGCCGCGCCAUGCCCCUGGGGGGACCGAGGACCGCGCCUUGUGCAAGGAUGCUGGCGUAAUGGCCACCGGCGACCCGUCUUGAAACACGGACC